UACGGAGGGUGCGAGCGUUAAUCGGAAUUACUGGGCGUAAAGCGCGCGUAGGCGGUUCGAUUAGUCGGAUGUGAAAGCCCCGGGCUUAACCUGGGAACUGCAUUCGAAACUGUCGAGCUAGAGUAUGGUAGAGGGUAGUGGAAUUCCCGGUGUAGCGGUGAAAUGCGUAGAUAUCGGGAGGAACAUCAGUGGCGAAGGCGACUAUCUGGACCAAUACUGACGCUGAGGUGCGAAAGCGUGGGGAGCAAACAGG
Molecule: ribosomal RNA, 253 nt
Filed under: uncultured bacterium
Lineage: Bacteria
Description: partial 16S ribosomal RNA
Rfam family: Bacterial small subunit ribosomal RNA
Source: RNAcentral